This 30-nucleotide non-coding RNA is filed under the name Homo sapiens (human). Lineage: Eukaryota; Metazoa; Chordata; Mammalia; Primates; Hominidae. The record is from RNAcentral.
UAUGCCACAUAAGAUUUCUGCAUAAGGCUA